RNAcentral lists this non-coding RNA (421 nucleotides) under Pan troglodytes (chimpanzee). The record is from RNAcentral. Lineage: Eukaryota; Metazoa; Chordata; Mammalia; Primates; Hominidae.
UCACUGGCCAAGGAGAAUCAAAGAGCUGGAUGCUGAGAAUAAUGCAGCCAUAACGUGAAAUCUUUUUGAGACCACUCACUCUGGGAGAAAGCAACUGCUAUGUCAUGAGGAAAUUGAAACCACCUAUGGAGAAAGGCCCACAUGGUGAGAAAGUAAAGCCUCUUCCCAAUACCAAAAUUCUGUAAGUCUGCUACGGUGACAUUUCUGGUUAGGAGUCAGAGUGGAUGGGACACUGAGCAAUAAGAAUGCAGAGACAUGAUGGCUGAAGCUGGAGCUUUUCCCUGAAGCAACCACCUGUUGGAAACUUCAUGUUGAAGAUGACUGAGUAAUAAGACAGAGGGGUCUGGGUCCCUGGUGGAUAUUCCAGAUCUGGGUGUUCGUGGAGAUAUGAGAAAGCAAUAAACUUCAAUUUUGCUUAAAU